Equus asinus (donkey) is the source of this 1831-nucleotide long non-coding RNA. NCBI's taxonomy places the organism in Eukaryota, Metazoa, Chordata, Mammalia, Perissodactyla, Equidae. The record is from Ensembl.
AAAGUACCUAUGCGUUCCCCGUUCCCGGAUCCCAUCACUGGAGGUCCUGAGGCACUGCAGCUGGGGUGCUGUCAAGAUUUUAUUUUUUCCUUUUUCUCCCCAAAGCCCCCCGGUACACAGCUGUAUAUUCUUCGUUGUGGGUCCUUCUAGUUGUGGCAUGUGGGACGCUGCCUCAGCGUGGUUUGAUGAGCAGUCCCAUGUCCGCGCCCAGGAUUCGAACCAACGAAACACUGGGCCGCCUGCAGCGGAGCGCGCGAACUUAACCGCUCGGCCACGGGGCCAGCCCCUGUGAGCUCAUUUCUUGAAUGUGAGAGGUGAUUUCAUGCAAUUGAACCUCCCAGAAUUCUUUAACAGGUGGCUGCAGUUAAUGCCUGAGUCAGAAGCGGCUACCCUCUGGUGUCGAAUACCCUCCUUCCAGCUGGCUAUGCCUUUAAGACUGGAAAUCAGAACAAAGUGGGAAGGCACUAGCCUCCGAGAGAUUUUGGCAAAGAAAACACAAAGAAGAAAGAAGAGAAAACAGAAAGUUGAGAUUUCUUGUUGGCCCGGGGAGGGAACUUCUACUUGAGUCCACCAGUUUUUAGAUCAUGAGUAGUCAUUGAUUGACAUUUGUCUGAAUGCAGGCUUGACACUGGUGGAGAUCCAGGGCAACGAACAUCUCAAAACUCUUAUGGGGAAAACUUUGGAUUUAAAGAAAGGUAACUCAGUGAUAAUUCAGAUCAUGGACAGAAAUGUGACACGUAAGAAAGGCCUCUUCAUCUUCUUCCCUUUUACCUCACUCCACUCCUCGCCACACACACACAAACACUCACACACAAACACUCAUACACCCUCACACCCAUUUUAGUCACUGUGUUAUUCUUCCUCUAGAAGAUAGGAAAGUAGGACAGCAAGAGAUAUAUGAAGUGGAAUCAGCUUUUCGGGCUUAGGACGGUAGGAUUUGGGGCUAUGUAACGUUCUUAACUACUUUACUUGAUUUUGUUUAAGAAAUCAUAUUUUUUCAUUAUUAGCUAUUUCCUUUAUUGCCCUACCUAAAUAUUUAGUAACUUAUAACACAGUCACCUGUUUUAACUGAGAGAGGAGAAAGAAUGAAAGGGUGUUUGUUCAAUAUUGUUUAGUGCAGCAUGUUUUAAGGAGAGUAAGAUAUCCCUGGGGCUGGGAUGGUAGUAGCAGUAGGAUCAGAAAAAGAGGACCCAGAAGGGGAAGUGAGACUCGAGGAGAAACAGUCAUGAAUACUUAGACAAUAAAUUCUCCCCCUGCCUCCGGCAAGAGUCUCCUGCCAGCAUUUUAUUUGCUCAAAACUUACGGUUUCUAAAUUCUGUUUUAAUAAAGAUGAUUGAUUGUUCACUUUCAACCCUGACUUACUGGGUUUCUUUUGUAUUUUUGCUAGUUUUGUCUUUUUUUUGAGUAUGGAAGCCACUCAAUUGCAGAAGCAACAGGGACUCAAAUCAGUGGUAUAUUGAGGCCCUGUUUUGUGCUGCUCUCAUGACUAAGUGCGGCUCUGGGGAGAUGAGCAGGUAUUUGGCCUCAGGCCCAGCUGCCUCCCUCCUGUUGUCAACAACUGUUUAUUUCCCUAUUAAGAUUCUUUCUAUUUUCUCACCCUCUUGUCAUAAAUCACACUUUUUAACACCUUGUUAACAGUCUUUUUGGUUAAGGCAGAGGUGAAAAUAAUAUCUCAACCUUCAACCUUUUGUAGCUUGUAAAUUAUUCUCCCUCUCCCUCAGGGGAGCAUUAGUCUGUGACACUGAUAUUUUUGUCCCUGGCUAGUGAGUCUGGUUUAUGUCUGUUCCCUGCUAUGACAGCCAAGUCAAUGCUGAGCACAGGGGCUGUCCCA